GGCCGUGGCUCAGAGGUACGGUGUCCGCUCGGCAUGCGGAAGGUCUUGAGUUCAAUCCUUGGCAUUGCCA
Molecule: transfer RNA, 70 nt
Filed under: Sphaerodactylus townsendi
Lineage: Eukaryota; Metazoa; Chordata; Lepidosauria; Squamata; Sphaerodactylidae
Description: tRNA-Ala
Source: RNAcentral